GCUUCGGUAGUGUAAUGGAUAAGCACGGCAGAUUAGAUAUGUGUAAGUGCGGGUUCGAGUCCUGUUUGAGGCA
Molecule: transfer RNA, 73 nt
Filed under: Dictyocaulus viviparus (bovine lungworm)
Lineage: Eukaryota; Metazoa; Nematoda; Chromadorea; Rhabditida; Metastrongylidae
Rfam family: tRNA
About the family: Transfer RNA (tRNA) molecules are approximately 80 nucleotides in length. Their secondary structure includes four short double-helical elements and three loops (D, anti-codon, and T loops).
Source: Rfam by way of RNAcentral